GCCUAAAGCGUCCGUAGCCGGCUCUGUAAGUUUUCGGUUAAAUCCAUAUGCUCAACAUAUGGGCUGCCGGGAAUACUGCAUAGCUAGGGAGUGGGAGAGGUAGACGGUACUCCGUAGGAAGGGGUAAAAUCCUUUGAUCUAUGGAUGACCACCUGUGGCGAAGGCGGUCUACCAGAACACGUUCGACGGUGAGGGAUGAAAGCUGGGGGAGCAAACCGGAUUAGAUACCCGGGUAGUCCCAGCUGUAAACUAUGCAAACUCAGUGAUGCAUUGGCUUGUGGCCAGUGCAGUGCCGCAGAGAAGUCGUUAAGUUUGCCGCCUGGGAAGUACGUACGCAAGUAUGAAACUUAAAGGAAUUGGCGGGGGAGCACCACAAGGGGUGAAGCCUGCGGUUCAAUUGGAGUCAACGCCAGAAAUCUUACCCGGAGAGACAGCAGGAUGAAGGUCAAGUUGAAGCCUUUACCAGACAAGCUGAGAAGUGGUGCAUGGCCGUCGCCAGCUCGUGCCGUGAGGUGUCCUGUUAAGUCAGGUAACGAGCGAGAUCCUUGCCUCUAGUUGCCACCAUUACUCUCAGGAGUAGUGGGGUGAAUUAGCGGGACUGCCGUAGUUAAUACGGAGGAAGGAGAGGGCCACGGCAGGUCAGUAUGCCCCAA
Molecule: ribosomal RNA, 653 nt
Filed under: uncultured archaeon
Lineage: Archaea
Description: bacterial SSU rRNA
Rfam family: Archaeal small subunit ribosomal RNA
Source: RNAcentral